RNAcentral lists this transfer RNA (73 nucleotides) under Amycolatopsis deserti. Its description in RNAcentral is "tRNA-Ser". It matches the Rfam family "tRNA". From Rfam's summary of the family: Transfer RNA (tRNA) molecules are approximately 80 nucleotides in length. Their secondary structure includes four short double-helical elements and three loops (D, anti-codon, and T loops). The record is from RNAcentral. Lineage: Bacteria; Bacillati; Actinomycetota; Actinomycetes; Pseudonocardiales; Pseudonocardiaceae.
ACCCCUGUAGCUCAGUAGGACAGAGCGCCGCUACGAACGCGGAGGUCCCAGGUUCGAUUCCUGGCAGGGGUGC